RNAcentral lists this unclassified non-coding RNA (184 nucleotides) under Streptococcus uberis 0140J. Its description in RNAcentral is "T-box leader (RF00230) as predicted by Rfam". Lineage: Bacteria; Bacillati; Bacillota; Bacilli; Lactobacillales; Streptococcaceae. The record is from RNAcentral.
AUCGGAUAAGUAAUAUUACCUUUCUUUUCAGAAAGUCUGUGGUUGCUGAAAACAGAUAGGAAUGGAAUAUGAAAUUCUACCGAUUGAUACAAUUGGAUACGAAUCAAGUGCACAGAUUGUGAAGCUGGAUGGAACCGCGCUAUUGCGCUCCAGCAUAUUGACAUCUGUGUUUUUUUCUAUUCAA